This 102-nucleotide ribosomal RNA is filed under the name Acanthosepion pharaonis. The record is from RNAcentral. Lineage: Eukaryota; Metazoa; Mollusca; Cephalopoda; Sepiida; Sepiidae.
AGCGUUGAAACAUCGGUUUUCAUACGAUCACCGAAGUUAAGCAACUUCGAGCCUGGUCAGUACCUGAAUGGUUGACCGCUUGGGAAUACCAGGUACUGUAAG